RNAcentral lists this ribosomal RNA (351 nucleotides) under uncultured bacterium. RNAcentral describes it as "bacterial SSU rRNA". It matches the Rfam family "Bacterial small subunit ribosomal RNA", at positions 720 to 1069 of the family's 1533-position model. The record is from RNAcentral.
GGCGACUACCUGGACCAGCACUGACACUGAGGCACGAAAGCGUGGGGAGCAAACAGGAUUAGAUACCCUGGUAGUCCACGCCCUAAACGAUGCGAACUGGAUGUUGGGGGCAACUUGGCCCUCAGUAUCGAAGCUAACGCGUUAAGUUCGCCGCCUGGGAAGUACGGUCGCAAGACUGAAACUCAAAGGAAUUGACGGGGGCCCGCACAAGCGGUGGAGUAUGUGGUUUAAUUCGAUGCAACGCGCAGAACCUUACCUGGCCUUGACAUGUCGAGAACUUUCCAGAGAUGGAUUGGUGCCUUCGGGAACUCGAACACAGGUGCUGCAUGGCUGUCGUCAGCUCGUGUCGUG